This 34296-nucleotide long non-coding RNA is filed under the name Chlamydomonas reinhardtii. Its description in RNAcentral is "long non-coding RNA (CREI_LNC001295)". Lineage: Eukaryota; Viridiplantae; Chlorophyta; Chlorophyceae; Chlamydomonadales; Chlamydomonadaceae. The record is from RNAcentral.
AGAAAGCGCGUCCUCUGCGGCUUUAAUCGCGACGGGUGCACCCAGUUCAGGUCACAGCUAGGGACCCUGGCCAGGCAUUACCCGUGGCUGCCUCGGCCAUAGACACGGUGACAACUCAGGUGAGUUUCCGGCCGGGGGAAGACCUGCGCAGAGGGGACAAGGACCAGGCACCGUACGAUGAGAGCUGCGAAGCUGAACCCGCUCUCGCUGCGUGCUUUUGCAUUCAAUUGAACAAUCCCAUAGUCAUUGAGCCUUCUAUUCCUCCAACAGCGCUCUCGCUGUCAGUUUUUAGUGUGGAUGGCUCGUCUCACUCUCACAUACGUUUAAUUGGUGCGGUCAUAUCCUACCGGACAGGAUGUCUUGGACACGCGGUGACGUGCGGCUGCGAGGGCUCCUACUUGUGCUCGGCACAUUCGCCCUGGUGGGCAUUGAGCCCGUUUCGGCACGCACAGUGAAGCCGAAGUAUUUUCUUCAGAAAGCGCUGCCACUUAAUUUAGUCGUGACGACGCCCGUGGAGCUCUCAAACUCGGACUCGGCGUCAGUCGGCCUAUAUGGGAGGCAGGCGCUCACGGUGCGUGCGCUAUUCCUUACAUGCAGUGAGAAUUUGAAACUAGGUUUCUAUACGCGGAUGGCGAGCGAGGCGCACGCUAUGGGGUUACCAGGCAGCUGGUGUGGGUGUCGUCCCUCCCACCCAACGCUGCUGACACCCCCGCCUGUUUUGAACGCCCUACAGGCGGUGUUCUCCCGCCCGGUGAUAGCUUUGGGCUCUGACUUUGGUACCCCGGCGUCGGAGCAGAAGGUGAGCUUUCAGCGGGAUGUGGGCUCGUGCAUGGUGUGUAGGGCCUUGUGCUUGGUUGGGGCCUCCUGACCCACAAGAGUUCCUUCUCAAGCGAAUGCAUCGCGUACCUGUUGUGUGCAGCUCCCGUUCCGCCUCAACUGCCCGGUGCCGGGCAAGGCGCGCUGGGUGACCACCACCAUCGCACGGUAAGCGGGGCAACAUCUGGUUCAAUCUGAAUUGCACCGCACGCGGUCUGCCGCCGGUGCUAACCUGCCGCAUGAAAUCCUGCUUACGCGACCACAGCUUUGACGCGGAUGUGGACUGGCCCACGGACCUGGAUUGUGAGCUGACGUGGACCGCUGGCCUUACAAGCUAUGAUGGUGAGCGCGUGGCAUAGCGGCGCUGUGGUGAUGUGGGUCAGCCUAUUCCAUGCCGCCACAGCCGCAGGCAUCGCAGCGCCUGGGUUCUCUGCAGCAUGACCUGCAGUGAAACUUCGGGCAGUGAAGUGCCGGAGGCAUGGCUGCACUCCUCUCCGCCUCCACAAACACAUACGGUAUUAUCCCCCGCUACCCAUCCCACAGGCGCUCCUCUGCAGCUCGGCGACACACCAGCGUCUCGCAAGCUCAGCAGCAGCCCGCUGACGCUGUCCAUUAGCGACGUGCUGUCGGACAAGGCCGACGAGCUGACGGAUGGUCGCUGGGCCUCAAGCCUGGGGCUGCCGGACGACAGCUACCUGGAGGUGCCGCCCGAUGGUGGGUCCGGCCAGGUUCGCCCAGCUCUUGGGGCCAGGGCGGGUGGCAGCCAAGGGGCGCAGUAGUUUACAAAACCCACAUGAUUUUCUUCCUACAUAACACCGGCGUUCCGAUGUGCUGGUGCCUCCUGCGCCCUGCCUCCGCCCUCAGGCCGCAUCGUGGUGCAGUUUUCUGGCAAGGUCCACCUGGCCACCCUACAGAGCUACCUCAAGGUGGGUUGCCGGCCGUGUCUGUGUGGGGGAGGCCAACGCGAGGGGAACGGCGCACCUGGCAUGCAUCCGUGUGUGCAUGUUGUAGCUGUGUCACUACUGCUGUAGGGGCUAUCAGGCAGUCCCCAGCCUUGGUGCCCGUGCUUUACCACAACUCCUUACCGUACUGAGUACUGACACGUGCAUGUGCCCCUGGACGCAGGUGGCGGAGGGUGUGCAGGGCAAGGGCGCCGAGGCGGCCUUCACUCUGGCGCCUUGCCAGAGCCCCGCGCCCUGGAUCUUCCCCUACACCAGCGCUACCGGCACUGGCACCCAGGUACGUGUCUGAAGUCUCAGUGAAAGGGGCGUCGCUAGGUACUGCCGUGGUUAGUGUUUGAGUAGGGCCACAUGAGCGCGAAGCAUGCUGCUGAUAGCGCUGGUACCGCGCACAUCAUGCAGGGUGCCACUACGCCUCUGAGCCUGGACGUCAAUGCCACCUGCGUCGAGGUCUCGCCCAAGAACCUCAAGCCCGACACUGUGUGAGUGCUGCGACUGCAGCGAACCCUGCACCACCACCCGCUCUUGCUACAGCACCGCACUGCAGCUACGCGCUUCUGUCCCUGGCCGACUUUACUAACCCGCUUGCCUGCGACGGCACUGCGUCACGCCAUGCACUCGCCCGGCCCUGACCUCGCCGCCCUGCCCCUCUCCCCCUCGUUGCUCCUCCCGCAGCUACGCUGUGCGGCUGCCGGUGGGCUCGCGCUAUUUCGGCCUGUCGGGGCCGCUGCAGUCUGAGGCGGUGGCGCCCUUCCGCAGCCUGCGCCCCUUCCGCUUCUACUUCCAGCAGAGCUCCUGGCAGAACGUGUGGGCCGGAACCAAGUAGGUGCACACACGCACGCGUCAGGAUCUUUUACAAACACUUCCACUUCAGCAUUUGCAGCGUUUGCUUGCUGCAACCAGCUCCUUUCGAUGGACUGUAACGCUCCUUGCCUACCCGCGCCUGCAAACCCACGCGGUCAGGUACCGCCGCUUCGACCUGGGGCUGCUGCACGGCCUGGGUUCCGCCGUGACCUCGGCGGCGCUGGCGGGCCGCAUCAGCCUGUGCGCGCGCGGCCCCGGCGGCGCCUGCAGCCCCGUGCCCUUCAGCCUGAGCCUGGUGUACAAGGGCCUGGCGCGGCUGAGCGUGGACAGCCUCAAGCCCGGCACCCAGCACACGUGAGCCAAGGCGGCACGUCAGGACUGGGCUGUACAAUGCAGGCUGCACGUGCGUGGUUCUCCGGUGGCUAAGGGCAUCUGGGUGAACUUGACAUACCUGAACUGUGCUGGCCCCUGUGUAUUCCGAUUGUAGCAUCACGGUGGCGGGCGCUGCCUCCAUCAUUGACGGCUACGACCAGGCGCUGCAGGUAAAGUGGGGUGGUCAGUCCCAUGCAUCACCCAUCUGCAACCCAACACAUCCCCCACAAGCACCGGCGUCUUGUGCACCCUGCCACCCACCCACCCAGCCCACCAACGCCUCUCCCUCGCAUCGCCUUACCGCAGGGCUCCUCGCUCACCUUCUACACCAGCUACGUCGACUACUCCUUCGUCGGCCCCGCGCUGUCCAAUAUGGCCCUGCUGGAGCCCGCUGACGUGGAUAGCCUGGCGUCCUGGCCCUUCGUCAGCCGCGGCCCGCCGCCGCUGAACCCUGACCAGCCCUGGUACCAGCCCGCCUUCGCCAACCGGUGCGUUAAGGCCCGCGUGCUCGCGUCCACCCGCUUCACUGCAGCGUCCAUCCGCUUCACUGCAGCGUCCACCCGCUUCACUGCAGCGUCACCCCGCGUUUGCUGCGCAUCCGCAUGUCUGUCUUGCUUAUGUAUGCAUAACGCAACUUGAUUUGUCUCUAUUAUCGUGAAAUGCGCAGCAUUGACGCGUGGGAGGUGGACAUCAGCGUGGAGCGCAACCGCGUCAUGCUGCUCAAGUCGGUGGUGCAGUCCUCCUUCGGCCAGAUGAACCUGCAGGUAGAUGCGGGCGCCCUGGCACAGCUGUGUACCACAGCUGGCGUACCGUAUGUGUACCCCUUCUGUGCAUUGCCGGCCUUUCCGCGGAUUUGCGGGUCACCGGGUCUCUGGUGCUGGUCUCUCUUGUCCACCUCCCACGCGUCAAUACUGCGAAAUUUCACCUCCCACGCGUCAACUAGCUCUACACCUCCGUACCCUUGCGUCAGACCAACGCCUGAACAUUGCCAUGGUCGUUCCACCCCCCCCCUGAACAGUCCAUCUUUGGUGCGCCCGCCGCCAGCGUGGCGGUGCCCAUCGAGCUGCGCACGCCCGGAUCCGGCGCCGACUGGCAGCAGCUGUCGCUGUCGCUGGCGGGCGCCAAGGUCCGCGUCGUCAGCUUCUGCUGCAACAGCGUGAGUUGGGGAGGGCUUUGGCUGUUCGGUGCGGUACUGUGCUCGCGCUCUGCUGUGCCCGCACAUUGCUGUACUGACAUUUUCCCUAGCUCACAUUUGCCCUUUGCGCAAUCUGUGCUUUCCUGUCUCCCGCCUUUCCGCCCCCACUCCCUUGCGGCUCGCAGCAAGGCGGCAUCAGCGACGCCAAGCUGCUGGUGCGCAGCGGCCUGUCGCUCAACGUGGUGCAGCUGGGCGACACCUUCCGGGCCUGGCUGCUUGGUGCGUGGGAAGCUGCGUGCAGUGGUGAUAGAUGUGGUGUGGUGCUGUGUGUUGGGGCGUCCACCUGUUGGCUGUCGGCGGUUUCAGGCCCCCUUGCUUCGGCGGUGUACAGUAAUGGUAUCGGUGCCAUCCUGAUGCGGAUCAUGUGUGCGCGGCCCCCUUGACAGAAUCCAGCGAGGGGGGAGCCGCUGUUGCGGGUGCCACCGUGUACAUCCACGUCCUACCCAACAACGGCCGCAGCAGCGUCAUUUACACAAGCGUGAGUUCGGGAGGGUAUGGCACAUGCAGGUGAACCCUGGAAGCGUUGUAGGCGCCGAGUAUGCUGAGCAUUGGCAUACCAGUACCGUAGCUGGUAAUUUUACAUGCCCCAAUCCUGUCCCUACUGCUACUCCCCUCUGCAGCCGGACGCGGUCAUGCUGGGCACGUGUGUUACUGGCGCUGACGGCGUGUGCACCAUCACCAAGAACUCCGACAGCGUGAGCGGGGAAGGGCGUUGUUUUUCAGUGCCCUGUUGUUCAAUGCGCGACCAUGCGGUGGUCAUCGAUCCUGCCCGAUCCCACGCUACCGUACUGGUCGUCUGGUCGUAACACCCACGCGCAGGACUGGAGCCAGGUGGCGGCGUUCGCGCUCACGACCGACGGCCGCGCCGCCGUGCUGCCAUCCGCCGGCUACAUCAACCCCGACUCGCCGCCUGCCAACUACGUGGCUUCGCUGGUGGCUGACCGCCGCGUGAUCGUGCCCGGCGACAGCCUCAAGGUCACCGGUAAGAUUUGCUGCCGCGGCUUUCGUACUGUUGCUGCAUGUGCUGCGUUGAUGUGAGUGGAGCCAGAUUGUGUGCUUCGGGCUCAACAAGACACAAACUCAUUAUCUAGUCGCUGAAUGUAACUUUCUCCUACAGGCUUUGUGCAGCAGGUGUCUGCCACCGGCCUCAAGCUGCCGGCUGAGUCAUGGGUGGUGGUGGAGGUGUCGCCCAACUGGCAAGCCUCUGCCUCCGGCGCCUCUGGCGGCACCACCACCGGCGGCGGCGGCGUCAUUAGCCCGGGCCGCGGCCUCAUGGACGGCGCCGUGGCUGCUGCUGUCGCUGCUGACACGGUCAGCGCCGUCGGCCCCUUCUCGACCGAGGCUGCUUUGCCUGUUGCCACCAUCGCCGCCGAGCUGCCGGUUGCCGGCCGCACCGGCCGCGGCCUGCGCGGCUCCACCUCUUCCUCGUCUGCCGGCGCGUCGGCGGUAGCUGUCGGUGUCUCCACCCCUAUGACCGGUGCCAAGCCCACCGGCGGCGUCAGUGCUGGAGGCUCCACCGGCACCACCGGCAAUGCGCUCACUGGCGUGCCGACCCGGUAUUUCGCCAAGGUACGUUAUGCAGCAGCAUGCAUGUGCCCUUAGCCCCGCCACCUGGUUUCCAGUUGCUCGUCAUGCGUGGUGAGCUGGGGAGGACAGGCACCUAUGCCGGGCAUGCAGCAUGUAUAUGGCUGACACGCGUGUGCUCUUCCUUGCCACCUGCUGCGGAGACAGAUUGAUGGCGCCUCGGGCGUGCUUCAUGUGGAAGUGCCCAUCCCCGCCUACGCGCGCCUGCAGCCCUACACGCUGCAGCUGCGCCUGCCCAAGGCCGGCACCGCGCUUGCCUCGGGCGCCCGUCCCGACGACGCUACGGCCGCUGGCUGGUCCGACGUGGCUGGCUCGCUUGGAUUCACGGUUGCUGACCCGCGCCCGCCCACCGCCGAGCUAAAGGUGUGCAAGCUAGGGUGCCGUCUGUGCACAUGAUGACAGUUCAGCCGGCGCGGGACGGGAUCUUUGGGUGCAUCUAGCGAUGCCUUGAUCCAUUGACACGACGCUUGGUGCCGCUUGACGAGCCCGUGUGUACGAGCUGCACACACACACACACACACACACAACUCUGACGCACGCGUUACGCGCAUAGGUGGACGUGCCUCCAUGGGUGCUGCCCACCGCCGCCGUGGCGCUCAAGCUCACGGCAGUCAGCUACGUGGGUGCGCCCGUGGACAACUCGCCCAUCACCGUGACCUGGAGCCACAGCAAGGUAUGAACCCAUCAACCCACAAUCCGGAACGAUGACGAGAGCCUGCCAUAUGAGCGCAUCUGCAUCUCCACACUUCCCCUGGCGGCCAUGGUGAACGAAGACGCAGCCGCUACUCCCACGUCCUCGAUCCCCCAUUUACCCACUCGUUCGCACCCCACACGCAACAGGCGAGCGGCGUGAUCAAGCUGACCACGGGGCUGGACGGCGUGGCCUCCACCACCCUGGACUUGGGCGCGCUGCCCGAGAUCAACCGCACCACCGCCUACGACACGCUGUCCAUCGCAGCUGAGUGGGUGGGCCCCACCCGUGAGCUCAUCCAGAAGUCCGCCACAAUUAUGUGAGUGCACAUCGCACGGUGCCGGGAGGGGGGCGGCCGUCGAGGUUGCUAGCUAUCGACGGUUUGGCUUGGUGUACAGCCUGCUUGUGCAUGGCGACUAAUGCACGUUACGCCCACGUUGGCAUCACUGUCUGACAGCGCCCUCUGCGGCUGCGCUUGCCCUCCUUCCCCCCCUCCCUCUCAGCCUGGCGGACGGCCCCGCCCGCCUGCAGCUGCAGACGUCCCUGGACACCGACGUGCCGGGCGUGGCCUUCGCGCUGGGCGCCCAGCUCACCUCCAAUGUGGACGGCUCGGCCAUCACCGGCCUCGCCGUCACCGCCACCCUCAAGCCCGACACCUCCGCCGGCCCCGCCGCCUGCGCCGACACGCCCAGCUGCGCCACCACCAGCGGCGCGGGCCUGGACGCGGGCUGCCAGCUGGCGCUGCCGUGCGUGGGGCGCUUCGUGCUGGAGGCGUGCGCAACGACGGCAUCAGGUCCGGUGUGUGCGAACCAGACCUUGGGUCGCAACACCACGGAGUGGUCUCUGGACCCCCUGGACAGCUUCCCCGCGCCCAACUUCCUCACCGAUAAGUAAGAGUGUAGGGCUGAAGAACCGGAUAAAGCUUCCGAGCAUCCCUGUCAAUAGUGAUACCUGCAACAGGAAUCGCAUAUAAGUCCUGAUCCCGGUCUUGAUGACGCUGCGCACGCAGGGCCUCGUACAAGAUUGGCGAGAGCGCCACUGUCAGGUUCCAGAACCCUUGGGCCGGGUAAGUGGUGCCGUGGUGCCUUGAACUCCCAACAUAUGCAAACACAGAUUAGGUCUGCAGCAGCUUUUGCGGGCCUGACACGCCAAAGUGCUGCGCCGUUGAACCUUCUUUCCUUACCCUUCACCUCCCAUUGUCCGCACCCUGCCCGGCCUGCCUGUUGCUUCCACCAACAGAGCCCGGCUGAUGCUGACGUGGGGCAACAACUACGCCUCCAAGCACGAGGUGGUUGCCUCGCUGCCCGCCGGCCUCGCCUCGCACACGUUCGGCCCGUUGGGCAACGAGUGCCUGGGCGGCUGCAGCGUCUCCUUCGUUCUGGACGUGCCGCGGCUGUCCGCCUCGGCGCUGCCGCUGCCGCCCCCGGAGCAGCUCAAGGUCAGCAAGCUGUAUGACCCCCGCGCGCCCGCCACCUACAGCCAGCAGCUGUCGCUGACGGUGCUGCCGGAGAACGAGCUGGCCGUGACUGUGGCCGUGGCGGCGGCGCCGGGCGUGACGGCGGGAAGCAUCACGGACGCUGAUGGCAAGCAGCUGCUUUCCAUUGAGCCCGGCAGCGAGGCGACGGUGAGCGACUGUGCCGUGAACUGACACACAAUUUGAUUGCACAGAACUGCGUCGUGAUAAGGAAGACCGAAAUGGGUCAGGGAAAAGGUCAGCAUCAACCUGUUGUUGGCUGCAUCUGAACUUUUCGUGCAGGUGACCGUGACUGUCGGCAGCGUCGGUGCCGGCGCCUCCGUGACUGUGUACGGCGUGGACAAGGCGUUCCUGGACCUGCUGCCGUACCCGCUGCCGGCGCCGCAGCAGGAGGUGGUGCUGCGGCUGGCGGCGGCUGUGGCGGCGUACGGCCCCAGCGCUUACCGCCUGGCGCCUGGAGCGGUGCAGGCCGUGUUCGCAAAGCUCAUGAGCCGGUAAGUGCUCAGUAUUGCAUGGCGCCUUGCUCUGUAGCGAAUGCCUGGCAUUGCUGCACCCGUCGACGAGCAAGCCCACAUACCCGUCAACCCAGCGCUGUGCACCACCUCUCAUCGCCCAUUCCCCAACACCAGCCCUUUCUGUAAACCCGACCGUCACCUCAAAACCCGCACCCACGCAAUGCAACGCCUUGCCGCCCCCCUCUGCAGCCUGACCGGCCUGGACCCCUGGCUGCCCGCCGACACCACCGUGCGCCCCGGCGACACCGGCGCCUACUUCCGCACGCCCUACUACUCGCCCAGCGCCACGGCCUCGGCCGCCGCGGUGGACAUGGAGGACGCGGCAUACCUGGCGCUGUACACGAGCCCGCUCACCUACCUGGCGUCGGUGAGUGCUGCUAUCCUAUAGAUAGGUGGUCCGCGGCGGUGUGUUACAAGUCACGCGGGUUUGCCGAACAUGUUCACGCGGUGGGCACGUGGCGUCGGGUAUGAAGGCUGGGCUGACCUCCACCGUUCCCCACUUCGCUUCCUGAACGAACCCAGCAGACCUACAUUGGCCGCUACGGCGGCUGCGGCAUCACGUGCAUGGACUCCGCGGCCAGCAAUGGUGGAGGCACGAACGUCGUUUCCGCCCCCAGCGUCCGGCCUUUGCCUGGGCAGGGCGCCGCCACCGAUGAUCAGUCCAAGGGGGUGACUGCCCCCGAGAGUGGCGGCAGCAGCGGCAGCGGCGGCAGCAGCUCCAAAACCGACAGCAGCGUCACCGUCCGCCAGGAGGCUGACUUCAUCGUGACGCCGCUGUUCACCACCGCCGUCACCGACGCGUCCGGUGUGGCUCGCGUGGCCUUCACCGCGCCGCCCAACCUGGGCACGUUCGUGCUGCGCGCCUUCGCCGCUUCUGGCGCCGCCGCCAAGUACGGCUCUGGCGAGGCCAAGCUGGCGGUGCGGCGGGCGCUGUCGCUGACGCCCAGUGUGCCGCGCUUUGUGCGUGUUGGCGACCAGUUUGAGGCGGGCGUGGUCGUCACCGUAGGCUCCGCGCCGGCCAGCGUCACCGUCAGCCUAAAGCUGGAAAACGCAGCCGACAGCCCUCUGACGCUCAACGGUGUCACCUCCAAGACUGUGACCAUCGCAGCGGGCGGCGGUCUGCAGCAGGAGGUGCGCUUCAGCUUCACGGCGGUCGCCAUCGCGAGCGCUACGCUGGUAUUUGAUGCGGUGGACUCGGCGGCCGGCGGCGGCUCCGACAGCCUGAGCCUGGAGGUGCCGGUGUACGGGCAACAGGGCGACGUGUGGGUGGCGACCUCCUUCGCGCUCAAGGCGCUGCCCGCCUCCGACUCGGAUGUGGUGCAGUGGCAGGAGGGGCUGGCGCUGCCGGACGCAGUGCCGGGAAGCGGUGAGCUGCAGGAAUUAUAGGGGAGGGGCCGAGCCUGCCACAUUUCUAAGUGUCGCUUUUGCGAUGCCUGCAUGCAUCCCUUUACUUGGAUAUCAAGGCAAGGCAUUUGCUUUGGCAACACGCUCGCUACCCAGCUGACCAGUACCGUACCUCGCUGUGCUUGUUUGCUGUUGCUGCAGGCGGCCUAGCUCUUACGGCGGGUGUGGGCUACUGGCCCUCCAUCGCGGCCACCUACGACAACCUGGCGCAGCGGCAGGAUGACUACAGGUAGGCGCGCGGACAUGCGCACAAGUGGCUCCCGUUGCACCGGCUUGGGCACCACCUGGUUGCCGCGAGCACACAACAGCCGGGCAUGGCGCAUGCAGCAUGCUGCACUGACCCUCCCGGACGGCCUUGUAAGCUUGCAGCGACCAUGUCCUUGUCCCGUCGUACUGAUCCUCAUCCUUUCCCUCGCCUCCUUCCUUCACCCGCAACCCCUUGCAGCGGCUACGCCUAUGCGCAGCCCUCCAUGCUGUGGGCGGUGCAGCCGCCGCUGCUGCAGCGCUACGGCCAGCCCGCCUCCGCCGCCGGGCCCGAGGCGCUGCUGCACACGGCCUACACCAACCUGGGCCGCCUGACGCUGUCCAACGUGGGCCUGGUCUACUCCGACCCCUCGCGCUGGUACUCCUGGACGCCGACACGGUGAGGGACACGCAGAGUGCUUUGUACGAGCUGUAGGUCGGAGGUGCGCCUGGCGGUCCAUGUGCAGUGCCCGGCUGCUUAUUCGCAAGCAUGCCCGUAAUCUCCCAUCCCUCGGUCAUGUCACCACCUCCCAAUCGCUUCCCUCCCCACCCACCCCACACACGCACACGCAGCACCGACAUGUACCUCAACAGCUGGGCGCUGUUCCUGGCUGCCGAGCACGCCGCCUCCGGCAAGGCCCUGUCCGGGGACCUGGCCGCCGCCUACGCCACCGACUGGUCGGGCCUGGCCGGCAACCUGGUGCCGCUGUGGCGCGCGGCGGUGGAGCGGCAGCUGAUCCAGGACGCACGCGACGCGCGCAUGUACUCCAACAACAAGAACGCCUACGAGGAUUGGUACACGCUGGCCUGGGUCAGGUGGGUCUCCCGUGACUGCGGGUGCUGGCGCUCGCGCUGGUGCAUAGUGCAUGUUCGUCGCAAACCACAAGCACAUUCUUCAGUGCACAAUUGUUGAACACCACAAGCACGUGCUAUGCUGUUGCUGCUCACCAUUUGACUGUGAUGCUGGCCAUUCCGCCGUGCACUCACACGCUUGCUCGCCGACCUUCCAUGCACCGCCGCCCGACAUCAGGCUGGCCAUGGGCCCCGACUGGAACCCGCCCGCCUGGCUGGAGUCUCCCAUCAACAACGACCUGUCGCUGGCCACCCUGCUCAACGCCGUCAGCGCCAAGAAGGCCGGUCGUGAGGUGGGGCUUGCAUUGGGCGGUAUGUAAUGCAUUGCGCCUCCGCGCUGCGCUCUGAAGUAUUCUUGCUGCGCAUCGUACCUGCCGUACCUAACAUCUGCUCUCAUACAAUCUUGAUGGUGUCCGCAGACGCGCGUGCUCCUGUCGCUGUACCUGCAAGCUCUGGGCUCCGCGGCGCCUUCCUCGCCGCUUGUGGCCAACACGGUGGCGGAGGUCACCUCGGCGCUGCGCACGCAGGGCCGCACCGCCUACGUGGCCACCGGCCCUGGUGAGAUGCACAGCUGGCCGGACCUCUCUGGCCUGUCCCGCGCCAUUACGCACCCAAGACGGAACGCCCGCGCCAAAGCGCUUUGUGCGCCUCGUCCCAACCUCAACCCAGCUGCUCUUCCCUGCACAAAUCCACGCGACACCCGUGCCCGUGGCUCUGACCCACUGCCGCUUCAACCUCCCGUGCACAGGAGCCGCCUCCGCUGCGUCGCUGGACGAGCAGGCCCUGGCCCUGCUGCUGCUGCUCCGCUCCGGCGCAACACACCAGCUCAUCCCCAAGCUGGCGGCCUACGUGGCCAACCCCAGCCAGGCGGGCGGCAGCGUGGGCUGGUUCAGCAUGUACCCCUCCGAGGCCGCGCAGGGCCUGGCGGGCGUGGCACUGGCGGCCUACGACGAGGCGCGCGGCAGCACCAAGCCCGACGUGGAGCUGUUUGCUGACGUGAAUGGCCUCACCGUGCUGGAGGUGGGUCUAGUCGGGUCUGGCCGGGUCUGGUGCCAUGUCUUGCGCGUAGUGCGUUGGGCUAGGGCGCAUGUGUGAGGGGCCACAACAAUGCGGUACAUUGCAAAGCGUGCAGGGUUUGACCGGCGCGAUCUGUCCGAACAGGGACACAGCCCAUCUGACAUCCAUCAUACCACAGGCCACCUUCCGCACCGGUGCUAACGCGCCCGUCAGCAACACCACCGCGUGGGAGGACCUGCCGUCGCCGCCCACCGGAUCCCCCUCAGAGCUCAACUUCGAGGUAACCGGCACCGGCGAGGUGUCUGUGGCUGCGUCGCUCCACUUCGUUCCCUCCGCGCUGCUGUCGUUCCCCUCCUACCGCGGGCUGUACGUGGAGGCGGCGCUGCAGCAGGUGGACCCGCGCACAGGCGGCCCCACCGGCGGCCGCCUGGCGGCGGUGCCGCUGGGCUCGGUGGUGGCGCUCACAGUGCAGCUGACCACUCCCGACGACCUGGGCGCGGUCACGCUGUCCGUCAUGAUGCCCGGAGGCCUCGAGUGAGUGGGGCGGGGGGGCGGGGUCAAAAGCGCUUGCUACUGGCUCUUAAGACGCCGCUAUCCUGUUCUGUAAGCACUUGACAACCAACUUUGGUCUGCGCCCGUAACUCAUUCUCACCCAUCCCUCCAACCCCUGCCGCAGGCCCCUGGACCCCAACCUGGUGGCGGGAGCUGACAGCGCCUGCACCGACAGCUGGGUGGACGGCAGCAGCUGGGGCUAUGUCUACCGCUGGUACUACUGGUUCCCCAUCUGCCCUGCCCAGGUACGUAGGCUUGUGUGCGCCUGGGCUGUGAAACCCGGGGCCGCGGGCCUGGAGCCACGCAUUCAACUGUCUUUGCUGUAUGCGAUGGAUUUUCUGCUUUGCAAGGACGUGAUGCCCUGCGGCGCGUAAAUCCAGAACCCGGGUUGGUGCUCCUCAUGCUCCUGCCCAUGAUCCCGCCCCCGCAGGAGACGCGCCCAAGUGUGGUCACCUUCAACUACCUGUCCCUGCGCGCCGGCACCUCAUCCGUGGUCAUCAAAGCCGUGGCCGCCACCGCAGGUGUGUAUGGUGUACCGAUAGCAUGCCUAGGCUGCCAUGUGCCAACAUCGCGCGCGCAGCACAGAAAUGCCCGUGCGCACGCCUACAGCCCCUGCAGCUACCCAACCUGUUUCCGCCCCACUGCACGCCUUUGGCCGUCUUCGGCGCAGGCACAUUCGUGGUGCCUCCUAUCCGCGCCUGGGUGGACGAGCAGCCCGAGCUCAUGGGCAGCACCGCCGGCGCCAAGAUCAGCGUGUGCGCCGACUGCGCCGGCCCCACCUACGGCGCGCUCCCGCCGCCCCCUAAGCCCUGUCCCGCCGACUGCUCCGGCAACGGCGUGUGCAACCUCAAGACCGGCAAGUGCGUGUGCAACGCCUACUGGACGCGCGCCGACUGCUCGCGCAUGGUGCCUGCUUAGGCUAUACCGUGGCACGGAGUUGACGCGACACGCGCGUACGAUGCUCACCUCACAUUAUGUGGUGUGCCAGCGGCGGAGUCCAUGGAAUACCUGUUUUGAACUCAGAGGCCGCUUGUUCCGGCGGAUGGUGGAGACACGUUUUUGCACUGGAUUAAUUGGCGUGACGUGAGCCGUACGAAAGAAUGGUGGCAAGUAGUAAGGCGUGCAGCUUCGAGCUAUUGGCGACGCACAUCACAACCGCCGCCGGUGUCUACCUUCGGGUCCGGGCAGCGCGCAGCUUGAAGGACAUUUUCCAAGGAUAGCAGAGCCUUAUGGGCAUAGUUCCGCUCCAUGCCGGCCCCUACGGCCCUCAUGGUUGACUCAGUACUCUCCUACAAUUUCCGGUACUUGAUAUGCGUUUUGAUCAAGGUAUGAUUGAUGCGUUUGCUACUGUGGUGCUGGAAUUGCGUGCGUGCAUUUCUAGUCUCGGGUACUGAAAGGAAAUGUGGUUUACCGGGUCCACCAAGCACUCCAUAAUUCAAGGUGCGCUGGGUUCUGACGUCAUUGCUUUGGCAUUCUUGUAUUAUCAUGGACAAGGUGAGCGCUCCGAACUGCGUUAGCCUGCGCUGCAAGGCCUUGUCUGGCGGCAGCAUGUGGCCGUGGAGAGACAACGGUUUGCGCGGUAGAUAAUUUUGCCGCUAGUACUUCUGUGGUCGGAUGAGGGUCAACACACCGGUAGGGCUAAAGGAGAGACGGAGGGGAGGCCCUGUCGGCACGAGAUGCUAGGCUGGUACUGUGAGUUCUCAACGUCGGAGUUUUGAGCAUUGGAGAUGGGAGUGCUGCACGCGCAUUUACAAGCAUGCCGCCUGACCAUGGCUCGAACACGCAUCCAGCUUCCUGAAGCGCCAGCACAGACACGCACGCAUGCACGCAUAUACAUACGCCGUUGGCAUCAUCGCAUCAUGUAUCCUCGCUCUCGGCCGUGGAUGGACCUGAGCCUUUAGUAAUGCUGGCUACAGGCCGUAAUCACCAAAAAGCCACUGGAAGAGAGCGUAGCGUUUGUCGACCCCACGGUAUUCAGCGGCCUGCGUGGUACGCGUUCCGUCCAGGCAACGCCCAACAGCUUCAUGGCCCCUCAACCCGCAACCCGCUCAUCACCCGCGCGCGUCCUGCUCACGUACCAAGUGUCCACACGCGCAUUCGCAACCCUCUUGCAACCAAACUCAAAGCCCUACAACGGCAACAAGGCGCACCUGCAGUCCUGCCAUGUCCAGCCCACUUCCUAGCCUCCACCUUACAACCAGGCAUCACUUCGGCGCCGCUGCCCUCUUGCCGCACGCCUCCUUGUGCCCCGCAUUCCAGUGCGUGCGCUGGCACUCCACGCAGCAGUAGCUCGCCGCGCCGCCGCACCGCCCGCCGCACCGCUGCAGCGUCACGCCCGCCGCGCUGUCGCCGGCCAUCCUCACGCACGCCCGGUUGGCGCACAUGUCGCUCGACAUGCCCACAAGCUCCCCAGCCAACGCCAACGGCGGCAGCAGCGCCGCCACGCGCCGCGCCCACAGUGCACCGGGCAGCUUGCCCACCGAGCACCAGGGCGCGAGCAAUAACGGAAACCCCGCCUUCAGGGCUUCCACAUCGCGCGGCUCCGCGCGCCCGUUGCUGAUCAGCCGCCCCAACACAAAGAACUCCGCCGCAAUGGUGCCGAUGCCCUGCACCUGCAGGCCCAGCACCUGCACACAGGCAGCCUGAAGCGCCGCGUCGGCCGUGACCUUGGGCACGGGGCCGGUGGCGGGCCGCGAGGGGCUCGACGAGAAGUAGGGCGAGGGCACCUGGUACUUCUUCAGCUCCCUGGCCGCGUCCUCGGGGAAGGCAACCGCCAGGUGCAGCAGCGCGUACAGCGUCCACCGCACGUGCUCGCUGCUCACGGCGCUGCCCGCCACCGUGUUGGUCAUGAGCUCCGUCACCUCCGCCACCAGCUCGAAGCAGCUUGCGUGGCUGAAGUCCAGCAGCAGCAGCUUCCAAGCCUCCGCCUCGGCCUCCGCCGCCUCCGCCACCGCCUUGGCAGCAGCGGCCUCCGCCGCCCCGACGCCGGCGCUGCCGGCGCGCUGCCGCGCCUCCGCAGCAAACUCCUUGCAUAGCAGGUGCGCGUGCACGAUGACCGGCACCGCCCGGAACACCGAGCACGCCGCGCCCAGCGCCGUGCGCGUCUGCACCCCGAUGUGGUCCAAAUCAUCGUCCAGCCGGGCUGCGGGGUCGUCCGGCAGCCGACAAAGGCCCACUGUGCGCGGGUUGACAAACAAGCCCGGCAUGUGGCCAGCUGCGCUUAUGGCCACCUUUUGCGCCAUGACGCACAGGUUGCGGCCGGACCGAGCCAUCCAGUACACCCAGCGCUUCAUGGUGAAGCUGCACAGCGCCAGAGCCUGCAGUGCCGGCUGUGGCACGCCCCAGUCAAAGGCUCCGGGCUCACCUUGCCUACGGGCAGAGCUGCAGCCGGUACUUCGUACACAUGCACUGGAACGUCACUAGCGAGCCCGCUAGCAAAUGCCCUACACUCCAGGGAUGGCAAGCCGCGCACGCUGCCCACCUCCAACGACUAUCCAAACCCCCUCGCGAGCCUACGCCUCCCCCACCUCGCGACUCACACCUGUCACCAGCCCAACGACAGGGCCGGUGGACUCCACCAGACGUGGAAGGAGCGGCGCGCCGACGCACCACCAGACAGAACACUCAAAUCAACACCAAACCGUGCAACCCCUACCACGACAUCUACCCCACGGGCGCCUACACCAUACAGAUUACGGACACAUACACAGAUGCACAAACCCUUGCACAUAUACACGGCCCCGACGGACGCCACAUUUCCAGCAUCACCAUGGGGACCCUACACACCCUUUACACCCGCUACAAUCACGCCCUGGCCAGUAACCCAACCGAAACCGCAUCUCUCCGUUCCCCCGGAGGUUUCCCCGAAGAUGUUGCCAAAUUACUCAUCCGCACCCAUGUUGAUGAAAAAGGCAAAACAUGCAAAACAGCGCCGGCCCUCGAACGCUCACUGCCGACGUGCCUAAAAACAACCCUACUCGACGCCUUGGCUGCGGCCCACCCCGGCGAGACCAACCCGGCCCUCAUGGAGCGCUUCGCCUCCCCACUCAACUGCUCCAACCGUGUAUGCCAAUACUGGAGUGCCCAACCGGCCGAUGCCCUCUUCGGGGCCACAACGGACGCCCUGUCUGCUCCUUUCACCGGCCUCUCCAUCGCCCACCCCGGCCCCAACCCCGCCUCGUAUACCAAAGCUCUGGCAUGGGCCGUGGCCACCACGGAACUGCUCGAAGGGCAGAGGGACCCGGCCAUAACCCUCAUGGUCAUCCCGCACAACCACAAGAGCCCCCACACCCGCCUCUUCAGUAGCCCUCAUGUCACACACAUAGCGCUCGCGUACCUCCCGCCCGACACACCCGCGACCAACCUAGACGAGGGGCUAGGCGCCCUUAGCCCGGCCAUCACCCUACGACACGGGUUGGACCUCCUACUCGUAGCCAACACAACAGGGGUGCAGGCCUUCACGGCCCGCAACAACCUUGCCAACCUCCAAGCCGCCCUUACAGACAUCGGGGCUCAACCGCCACGCCCACUCACACCACAGCUGCCGUAGCGCGAUGGCCGCGCCGAAUCACCCUCCCCAGAGACCGCCACCAACCCACCUCACGGCCAUACAGCCACCGAGCCCAAACCCGGGCGCGACAGGCAACACACCGCCGCACCCCGCCAACACCCCCGGCCCCGCCCACCUGCACAGUCCCCCCGCCCAUCCAAGCGGAUCUGAACGCCCUCAGGGACCGCUUCCCGGCCGUCUCCCGGCCGCUCUAUGACGCGGCCACUGUCAUCUGGACGGACGGGUCGUGCAUCAAAAUCGCAGUAGGAGACGACGGUGCCGAAAUGAACCAGCUUGGCGCCUGCGCCUGGACAGCAACAACGGGCGAACCACUCUACGUCGAGCCAGGCGGCCUAAACAGCACCAAUACCAUCCAGCGCGCAGAACUAUCCGCCAUCCUGGCUGCGCUAAGACACUACCGCCCCCGCGCGCAACUCCUGGGACUGACUAAGCUAGUGAUUGCCAGUGACUCGCUGGUCUCACUGUACCUUAUACGCAGAGCAAUUAGCGACCCAAUGAAACUGACGCUGUCCAAACACAAAAACCUACUCAGUGACAUUGUAAAGGAACUUAACGAGUGUGCCGACGAAUCCCUCCCUGUCGUAUCCCUGAAGGUACGCUCACACACAGGCCUGGCAGGAAACGAUGAGGCCGACAAAGGCGCAGCCCUGGUAGCCGGUAGCGUGACGCGGGCGCAAUGAGCCAAGCGGUGCACCUGCGACCUGACGAGCCCUGGGCUAACAUCUGGUGGCCCAAACGGAACUCCGACAACUUUUACAUCAGCGACCUGAACAGGGGAGUCCUGUCCUCACUACCCACGCGGGCACAACAUGGAUUCACAGACAGUACAGCCGUCCUCGACAACUGGGCCGCCGCAGCAGACGGCGCGUGCCCUCAAGCAAGCAACCUAACUCUGGCCAGCCCCACCCGCCACCCCUGGCUGGUAAAACAAAUCCUAUAUGCCAGAUACGGCUACCUUUUCAAUGCCGCCCUCAAACGCCGAUAUGGACUGGGCGGAAACGGGUUGUGCCCCCUUUGCGAGGCACCCGACUCAGGAGGGCAUAUCCUUGGAGGGUGCUCUCAACGGCAGAUGAAAGGCGCAUACAUCAACCGCCACAACAUAGCGGUACAGCGAGUGGCUAAAUGCAUCUCCAAAGGAAGCUAUGGCGGGGGCUACAUGGUAAUGGACGCGGGCCCACUUGCGGACCUGCCCGAGUAUGCAUCCGGCCAAAGACCCCCCGCCUGGCUUUUCCGUAAUGGCACACCCCCAGAGGUUAUAGCCAGGCUCCGGCCAGACAUUCUCUUCAUCAGUUCAUCCCCGCCCUUGACACUACAAUGACACAACGCGAAGACUAUCGGCCGCCCCGCAACCGCAGCCGCACACCAAUCUAUAUCCUUGAAAUAGGAUACAGCUCUGACUCCCAACACCUACAUAAACGAGAAGAGAAGUCCCAACAACACCAAGAACUCAAAAGCUCCUAGAAGAAGCUGGAUGGACCGUCCACUACUCACCCGCCGAGUGCAUCGCCCUAGGUGUCACUGGUACCAUACCCGCAAACCUGGUCCCACUCCUGACCACCCUAGGCGUGCCCCCCAAGGCGGCCAAAACCUGCGGACACAAGCUCCACCACCACGCUGUCAAUAGUGCUGGAGGCAUAAUUAAAGCCCGCAGGAUCAUGGAAUACGGGCACACGAGGACCCCAGGGUGAUGUCCCCAACCGGCCCCCCUUGCGUGGUGAGGCGGCAGGGUAGGGGAUGGGCCCCCACACUGACCCGCCUUGCAUGCCCCGAUAAUCCACGCCAGGCCCUACGGGCCGGCGUUUCGAUUAUUAUUAUUAUUAUUAUUCCUAUAUCAUAAGAAGAAUAAUAAUAGAAACCGGACUUAGCCGCGCGGGCGAUCCUCCGGGGCCGGGGCGGGGGCGGGGCUCCGGGCGUGAGGGACCCAGCUUUGUUGCGAGGAGCGUCGCGCGUGCUCGCGACAUAGCAGGGGCCGCAUACGGGAGUGCGCUCCGCGGCGUUUGCAUCGGAGCCACGGCCAUUUGCUGUCCAGGCAGCCGCGAGGGACCCAGUUGUGUAAAUACAGCGCACAGAAUUCGGCCCCCCACUUGGGAACUCCCAGCACCUCAUCGGGGAAAUGGAGUCUGGGGAAAUGGGAUCCAAUGGCCGCAGAAUCGCUCGUUUUCACCCGNNNNNNNNNNNNNNNNNNNNNNNNNNNNNNNNNNNNNNNNNNNNNNNNNNNNNNNNNNNNNNNNNNNNNNNNNNNNNNNNNNNNNNNNNNNNNNNNNNNNNNNNNNNNNNNNNNNNNNNNNNNNNNNNNNNNNNNNNNNNNNNNNNNNNNNNNNNNNNNNNNNNNNNNNNNNNNNNNNNNNNNNNNNNNNNNNNNNNNNNNNNNNNNNNNNNNNNNNNNNNNNNNNNNNNNNNNNNNNNNNNNNNNNNNNNNNNNNNNNNNNNNNNNNNNNNNNNNNNNNNNNNNNNNNNNNNNNNNNNNNNNNNNNNNNNNNNNNNNNNNNNNNNNNNNNNNNNNNNNNNNNNNNNNNNNNNNNNNNNNNNNNNNNNNNNNNNNNNNNNNNNNNNNNNNNNNNNNNNNNNNNNNNNNNNNNNNNNNNNNNNNNNNNNNNNNNNNNNNNNNNNNNNNNNNNNNNNNNNNNNNNNNNNNNNNNNNNNNNNNNNNNNNNNNNNNNNNNNNNNNNNNNNNNNNNNNNNNNNNNNNNNNNNNNNNNNNNNNNNNNNNNNNNNNNNNNNNNNNNNNNNNNNNNNNNNNNNNNNNNNNNNNNNNNNNNNNNNNNNNNNNNNNNNNNNNNNNNNNNNNNNNNNNNNNNNNNNNNNNNNNNNNNNNNNNNNNNNNNNNNNNNNNNNNNNNNNNNNNNNNNNNNNNNNNNNNNNNNNNNNNNNNNNNNNNNNNNNNNNNNNNNNNNNNNNNNNNNNNNNNNNNNNNNNNNNNNNNNNNNNNNNNNNNNNNNNNNNNNNNNNNNNNNNNNNNNNNNNNNNNNNNNNNNNNNNNNNNGAGCGAUUCUGCGGCCAUUGGAUCCCAUUUCCCCAGACUCCAUUUCCCCGAUGAGGUGCUGGGGAAAGAACUCCGCGUCGCCGAGUUGAGUAUCGGGCAGAGGUCGGCAAACGCAUUUUUUCUGCUGCGGGUCCCAGACCGAUUUCGGUAAACCCCAACCGGGGGGUGUGGGGGGUGUCCCCCCAGCCGGGGGUCCGGGGGCGGGAGCCCCCGGAGAAAAUUUUCGCAUAUCGGGCCUCAAAUAUGUGCAUUUUACUAGGGUUUCCGCGUGUGCAAGGCUUGCAUUCGUCUUACGUGUUCAACAGCACAUGCCUGGGCAGCUGCUCUGUGGCAGGCAGCCACAAAUCCUCGCAAUCCCCCUCCGUCCAGCGCAAGCCGGCCCCGGGGCAGCAGCCCCAAAGAAAUUUUGCAGAUUGCGCUUCAAAUUGCGACAUUUUCAAGGGGUUUUGGGGGCAUUUCGGGUAAACCAAGAGCAGGUCAAUCAUGUUUUGGGCCGGUUUUGGGGGGCAAUUUUGGUUUCUGCAGCGAUUUCGGUGGUGUAAGUACCCGCAGCGGUUGGCUAUUCUCGAUUUCGGUUGCGGGUACAUCUGAGGGCCCCGAAGGACCCGAGGCUUAUGCCGACCUCUGGUAUCGGGUCUGCGCGAGCACCGGUGUGUGGCCGCGUGGCCCCAUGAAAGGGACCCAGCAAUAUGAAUAGAAAUGUAUAGGCAGCAUGCGCAUCAGGAACCGGCGAGACUGCAAAGUGGUGGCUGUCAGCUCCGUCGCGCUGCGAGGUCGUCACAGGCCGAACGUGCACCGACUGAAAACGUUUGGAUGAAAACGAGGUUCUUCGGGGAAGUGUAUAUUUGCGCGGGUGCGCGGGGACCAGCUAGGACGCGCGCCCCACUCGCAAUUUACCAGCGGGUGGGGCGGCCAAUAGGCCCGCUUCUUAGGUGAAUGGGGCGGUCCCACGCAAAUCGUAACUAUAUCGAAAGCUGCUGGUGCCGCAGCUGGCUCCGCCACCACUGCGGCAGGGGCGGCAGCAGUCAUUGGCACAGCGGCCGCAGCCGCCGCCGCCCCUGGCCCCCUGCCCUGCAGUGGACCCGCGCCGCCGUCACGCCCACCUCCCUCCCUGCCGGUGUCUCCGCCUUGCUCCGCGCCAGCUGCAACCACGUCUGCAGCGGCUGCUGGUGCCGCAGCUGGCUCCGCCACCGCUGCAGCAGGGGCGGCAGCAGUCCUUGGCACAGCGGCUGCCGCCGCAGCCGCCGCCGCCCCCAGCCCCCGGUCGCAUGCUGCAGCGUGUGCGCUAUCACCACAGCACGGGCAUGCGUUGGCUGCGCCAGCGGCGGGCCAGCCCUCCAAGCCCUCCGGAUAGUCACGUACUACGCCAUCCAGGUGGUAGUAGGCGUUGAGCGCGUAGCGCAUGCGCUUUCUUAGCUUGUCCCUGCCCAGCUUCGGAGCUGCCGCUGCCGCUGAGUCGCUGAGAGGCCAGACGCUGUUCAACCGCCAUACCUCCAACAUGGCAGCUGCAAAUGCGUCUGCGCUCUGAUGCCGACUUGAGUAGCAUAGGCGGGAGAACUGCUGGAGUGUUGUGGCGUGCCACCACAACACCAUCUGCCCCUCCGCCCGUUUGGUCAGGUCCCACGAUGUUGGCGUGUCCGGCAGGCAAUCCACAACGGUGGGCUGCAUGCUGACGAACUUGCAGCAGCGCUUGCACCAUAGCACCGGCACGGCCACGAUGACCGGCUGCUCCCAAGUGACGACCACCACCGGCACCUUGUGCGUCAGGUUGCAAGGCUCGCAGCAUUCGGGGCACUCACUGCCCCGCGCCUCCACAAGGCCGGUGAUUGCUGCUGCUUGGCACUGCAGCAACAGCUGACGAGCAGCACUAGCAUCCGCGUAGUCCCGCAGGUAAGCCGACGUGAGCUGUGGGCUUUGGGCGAGGGACUGUUUUGCGUCUCUGCGUGUCUGUCGCGUGUGGUCCCUGAGCGCUGCUCCCGAGUCCCCGGCAGCACCCGGGUCCCCGGCAGCACCCUCGACAGUCUCCUCGACGUAACCCUCGAGGUCCUCUAGCUGCUGGUGCUGGUGCUGCUCUGCUGCGAAGCGCCCGUCUGCGGCCCGCUUCCGUGAUUGCGGCUGAGGUUGAGCACCGCCGCGCCGGCUCUGCGGGUUACUGCUACGCUGCGCUUUUUCGUCCUUGGAAGGUAGCAAACCCUUGUAAAACUUCUUGUUCUUAGCGACACUCCCGGCUGAGCGGAAAGACAUGACGACACAUUUAGUCGGGAGAGUCGGUGUAGUAUCCCGGGUAAUGUUUAGGAUGCGAUAACGUGUGAUCAGCGUUUAGAGGUAAGGCGUGCAGACUAAAGGGCCUGCUGGCGCUGUCAUGCAGGGGUCCGAUGGGGGGCGAUGGUGGGCCGGGAGCGCGGGGAACUUCUCUCGCGGCUUCCGGGCGAGAACCUUAUGCAUUUUGAGCUAUCUGCAUGUGGAUUUGCAACUUUCGAUAUAAUUACGAUUUGCGUGGGACCGCCCCAUUCACCUAAGAAGCGGGCCUAUUGGCCGCCCCACCCGCUGGUAAAUUGCGAGUGGGGCGUGCGCCAUACCUCCGGGGACGCACCAUUGCGUCAGCCAGUUUGAGUGCAGGGCCCAGGCGACUCCGCACCUCCCUGAAUCUAACGACCGUAAUCGUCAUUGUCUCGCAGAGCAAUACUCAAACGCACUUUCGUCACCAACUUACAAAAAGGGUCUCGUAGCGGCCCAACCAAAAAAAGCGAUAGGGCGCUUUAUUCUGACCGGCAGCGCGUCACAACAGCAAGCAAGUAGUAUACCGGUGUAGCAGGUGCGGCGUGCGUGAUGUUUGGGGCCCGUUUGGUGUGGCGACCUGGCGUUGUGGUCGCGACGUGACAUUGCCGCUUUACAGUUCGCGGCCGGGGUCCAGCCAAGCGCGCAUGGCUGCGAGGGCGACAGGGCACGCACCUGGAGCACUACCGGGCCAGAAGUAUGGUGUCGGCGAAGUAUUCAGCCGGGACCGUCGGGUUUGUGCUAGGUUCACACUCGCAUCCCAUCCAAGUGAGUCCCCCCCCCCNNNNNNNNNNNNNNNNNNNNNNNNNNNNNNNNNNNNNNNNNNNNNNNNNNNNNNNNNNNNNNNNNNNNNNNNNNNNNNNNNNNNNNNNNNNNNNNNNNNNGUUGGGGCAUGGACCUUUAGGUUGGUGGGUAAAGUUGGUGAUCAAAGAUGAACAGCUAAGGUGCCUCCCGAGGCUUGUUUGGCUUCAUACAUUGGUUCCGAUGGCGCAUUUAGUUCCCAGAGGGGCCUUGUAUACGGGAAUGUAGUCCUGGAUGAUGGGUACACCAGCGCGGGUAUGAUAUGGGACCGUGGUUGCCCUUGGCUUGGUUGAGGGAGGGCCAACACAUGGCACAGAGGCAGAUACCCUACAGCCAGCCAUUUCGCCCGCAUAUGGCCAUGCGAACUUGGGGUUGCACCCAACAGUUCGACCGCGACCCCGGUGCCUCUUGGAUGCUGUCAUAUUGUGCAGAACUGAUGCACGCUCAUCCAGUGCUGCCUCCACUGCAAUGGAUGGACCGUCAUCAUUGCCAGGGACUGCAGCUGGUGCAGGCAAUAUUACACCACGUGGGCCGUUUGGAUUCCAGGUGUCCGGGCCAGAUCCAUUCGCAUAUGCAAAGGCAUGCUGCUGUAGAGCUGCAACAUAUAUGCCCGUGACACAAUAACGCUCUGCCAACAUGGAGCAGGUGUUGUUGAAGUAGCAUGGUAUAACCUGAGAGCUGACAGUUGCCCCAUCAUAAACACACAGGUGCAGUUUUGAAGCACCAGCAGGUCGCUGUGUGGUAAGGUGGUCCAGCAGCUUGCGGCAGACAAUGUUAGCAUGUUGCUUCUGAGCGCCAACAGUGUGGAGUGUGGUUCUGCUGCUAGUGGAGCACUCGCUGAGGACUGUUUGACGGUAGGUCAGCGCCUCAGUGCGUGCAGCUUGCAGGUCACCAAGCACAGAUGCCACACGUGCCUGGAGGUCAGGUCGGUCACGAUUGGCAACCGCCCCCCCCCUCCACGCCCCCUGAACUCCCCCCCCCUUGCCGCUUUCUGCAUUGUGCCCCCCACAACGUGAUCGUUCAGGCAGAGAAUGGGCAAGAAAGUGUAUGGAGCGAAAGGGAAGAACGGCGGCAAGCAUGCGGCUGAGGUGGGUGCCAGGGCGGUGCGAGAGUUGGUGUUGAGGUACACUCUGUGGGGUUGGGGCGCGUGGGGGCAGGGCGGGGCUGGCAGCGUGUUCAUGGCGGGGUGCAGGUGCAUGUAUGAAUUUGGUGACGGAACAGCAGAGCACUAGAAGGGGCGAGUGCUGUGUGCCAGAGGGUUUGGUCCAAGUGUUGGUGUGCGGCGGUAACACCCGGCGUGUACAGGUAUAAAUUGCAACUGGGCGCAGGGCAUUGUGUUGAGUCCCCCUCGCUAAACAUCCUUCACAUGCAGGCCAAGUCGCCCGGCUGCGGUUACGUGGUGCAGCCAGCCCCGCAGCUGCUGCGGGCCAUGGUGAACCCGCGCGCUCUGCGCACCAGCAAGGUGCCUCGCUGUGUACCAACUGGCGGGGCAUUGGGCGAGCGGGCAUGCGGGGCCUGGAGCAGCAACACGGUGAACGGCGAGUCACUGCCUCCAGUGCAGCGACCUGCACCGGCGGCUGUCAAGGCGCAGCAGGCCGUGCUGGCCAAGAUGCGAGCACAGCUGUGGCGCCGGGCGCACCCAUCCGCUGUCCACCAGCACAACCUCAGCGUCAUCAAGCAGCCCAGGGCUGGCACAGCAGCUCGCUCCCCUCACCAGGUGGUGGAGCCGCACGCAUUCCUAUGCAGCGUGUGCCUGACAGCAGGAACGGCCUCCACGUGCGCUUGCAGUUGACAGGCAUGUACCAGCAGGCAUGCUACAAGGCAGCAUUGCUUCAGCAGGAGCUGUACGGGGCAUGCUUUGAGCGUCGCUCAUGCACGCCAUUGACUGCUACCAGCAGGCGCUUUGUGGUGGCAACUCGUGACCGACCUGACCUCCAGGCACGUGUGGCAUCUGUGCUUGGUGACCUGCAAGCUGCACGCACUGAGGCGCUGACCUACCGUCAAACAGUCCUCAGCGAGUGCUCCACUAGCAGCAGAACCACACUCCACACUGUUGGCGCUCAGAAGCAACAUGCUAACAUUGUCUGCCGCAAGCUGCUGGACCACCUUACCACACAGCGACCUGCUGGUGCUUCAAAACUGCACCUGUGUGUUUAUGAUGGGGCAACUGUCAGCUCUCAGGUUAUACCAUGCUACUUCAACAACACCUGCUCCAUGUUGGCAGAGCGUUAUUGUGUCACGGGCAUAUAUGUUGCAGCUCUACAGCAGCAUGCCUUUGCAUAUGCGAAUGGAUCUGGCCCGGACACCUGGAAUCCAAACGGCCCACGUGGUGUAAUAUUGCCUGCACCAGCUGCAGUCCCUGGCAAUGAUGACGGUCCAUCCAUUGCAGUGGAGGCAGCACUGGAUGAGCGUGCAUCAGUUCUGCACAAUAUGACAGCAUCCAAGAGGCACCGGGGUCGCGGUCGAACUGUUGGGUGCAAGCCCAAGUUCGCAUGCGCAUAUGCGGGCGAACUGGCUGGCUGUAGGGUAUCUGCUCGUGUGCCAUGUGUUGGCACUCCCUCAGCCAAGCCAAGGGCAACCACGGUCCAGUAUCAUAGCCGCGCUGGUGUACGCAUCAUCAAGGACUACAUUCCGGUAUACAAGGCCCGUCUGGUAGCUAAUGCGCCAUCUGACGCAAUGUAUGAGGCAGACCAGGCUCGGGAGGCAGCUAUGCUGUCAUUCUUGAUCACCAACUUAGCCCAGCACCCUAAUGUCCAGUGCCGUACCGGCAGUUUUGAGUGCAUCAAAGAGGACCUCAUUGCAUACAUGGAGUCAGAUAUUAAAUUGUACUUGGAUACAUAUGGCGAGGCAGCAGCCCAGGAGCGGUUUCGCCUUCCCAAAUUGCACCUUACAGCUUGCAACGGCACUGUCAAGUACCGUGCAGUGAUGGACCGGGACCGUCGAGGCAACAUAUAUGGCUCAUCUCAGGCAGCUGCUAUCAUUGAGCGUGAUGUUAAUGAGAUGCGCUGUGGGUCUGAGCCAUAUGUGUCCCCCGACUGGUAUUUUCCCAACCCUGCCAUUCUUGCAUCAUUCAAAGCCCAGCUAGCUGAAGUCAACGCUGCGGUGCUUGCUGCAAGGGCCGUCAUACAGCCUGGUAACGGUGUCCACGAGGGAUUGGAGGAGAGUCUUGGCACCAGCAACGGCACAGCACCUAUGGAUGUUGACGAGGUGCCAAUGGGGCUUGCUGCAUUCAUGGCCGUGGAGGCCUGUGGAACACAAGCCCUUUGUCCCGAUAUUGUGCAACACCGCUCUGCAAAUAUUGGCCCACUUACAUCAUUUCUGUCUGGUCUGGUCAACCAGCGUGUCCUAUCAAAGUCUUUGGAGGUUGCGCAUGUUGCUGGCCUUGCCAAGACUGCCAGAACACGCAUUGAGAAGUAUUGCAUUUACCUUGAUUCAGCAGUGCUACAAGCAUUAAUUAAGAGUGGGUGCGCAGCUGCCUAUGCUCGCACGUUUGCAGCAGAUGUGCAGAAGGUUUGGGACCAGUCAAAGAGCACUGAUGACAGGUGCGUGUAUAGGUCCUGACUUUGUUUGUGAAUGGCCUUGCUGCAGGCACAUCAUUUAUGGUGUGUUGCAUGUUGCAGGGGCAAUGCCAAGUUCACACCAGCUGACAUCCGCAUAUCAUUUGCACGGCUUGCACAUUUUGGGCCCUACAAGACCUUGCUGGCUCAGCAGUCCCUUGGCAGCAUAUUCUGGGUGAACUGCCUUGGCGCUAGCAGAGGUGCCAAUGCAACUCAUGCCAAUGAUGUAGUUUUUGUGGUGUCAGGUUGCCCACCUGUUGGUAUGUAUGUGGCUGGUCCAUCCUCUGUCUACACUGCCGCAGCAACUGUGCAGCAAGUUGAGGAGGCAGAUGCUGGUGAUGAUGACUCCAAUGGCGAGGGUAAGCAUGGCAAAUUCGAAUUCCAAGACUUCCUUUGCGUGGUGAUGAUUGAGAACCCUUGCAGGUGGCAACCUUGAAGCAGAUGAUUAUGCGGGUGAGGACAGCGACUAUCUGAGGAUUCAGGGUACACAGGCCAGCACACCCACAGCAGCAGCUGUACCUGCAGCUGGGGCCAUGAAUGGGGGUGGUGGUGGGUCUGGAGAGGGGCAUCAGCAUACAUUUGUACCUCCACCCACCAGCCACAGCUCUGGGGGACCCAGCCAUCAUAACAACAGCCAGGCUUCGCAGUUAGGAAGGGCAUCAGGCAGUCAUGGGGCUGCAGGUGACCAAUUACAGCUGGCUGUUACACAUCAGCACGGCAGUGAUUCUGUGCGGUGGCAACAUGCGUUGAUGCUGGUUAGUGCUCCAACCCAACAUCAUGCAGAUGAGGUCUGCCAGCGAAUGAUGGUUGAGCUGGACGCCUGCAAUACAGUACCAGCUGGCAGCAUUCAGCAGCUGCGGCUCUGUGUGCGCAAACGCACUGCAGGCAACUCUGCUGGGGGACCUGGUGGCAGCGCAGAUGUGACACGCCCAGGCUGUGUACAUGCACUUGCAACCAGGCUGGCUGAUCUGGCUAGCUGUUCCCAGCCAACUGGCCUGCUGACUUAUACCACUUACUGGUCACUGGAGGAUUACGUGUACAUCAAGUCUCAGGCUCCCAAAGGUUGGGAUGUGUUGCUCCGGUUCAUCAUGGACAGUUCUUCCUCUGUGCCUGUCCUGCCUUCUGCGGAUGAUCGUGGUCUGCCAACCAGCAGCAUUGGCCAUGAGCUUGACAAGGCCUAUGCUAUUGUUACAUCUGGUGAGGCAAAUGUGUGUUGCUAUGCUGCAAGUAAUACAGUGCUUGACUAAACACAUGCAGAUAUGAAUGGAGCACCUGUGCUGUCUGGGGGACACGGCCUACCAGCUAUGCAGCACAAUCAGACCACAGGGGCGGCAGCUGGCCCCAGCAGUGGUGUAGCCAUGACAGUCAAAGGUAUGCAGUGUCAAUAUGUCAACACGAGUGCAGCUGCAUGCAAUAAUGCUCAUUUCUUGCCUGCAGUUGAGCAGGCCGCCCCAAUGGCGCUGGACACUGGCGUGGCGGAGGUCAUAGAUAUAACUGGUGCGGCAGGGUAUGCUGCUGCUGCAGUAUGUAUUGCCUUAUAUACUGCGUCCAUUGUGCAGGUGACACAGACAACGAUGAUAAUGUAGCCACACAGCCGUAUUGUAAUCCUCCUCAGCAAGCGCACAAUGUCGGUGUUGUGGAUUUAACAUCCGAGCACAUUGACCUUGUUGAGAAUGGCAGUGAAUCAGGUGGUGAAGAGCAACUGCCCGGUGCGUGCUUUGAAGGGGGGCACUUGCAUGCUAUGGCGCUCACCAUUUUGCUGGCACAGGUAUGCACCAUAACACAGCAGCAGCACAAGGGGUUUCUCAUCUCACGCUGACAGACACGGCAACAGCAACAGUGAUUUCUGUGCUUGGAAGUCGGCAUCGUGUGCUCACACGCAGCGAUCAGCACCCUACCCCAGCACAACAGCUGUGUGCAGCCAUGCUAAUUGACAACGUGGCUUGCAGCACUGGAACUUCUCUUCAUAUUGUUGCUGCCCCAACUGGCAGUGGCAAGACCUGGAUUGCCACGGCAGUGUUGCAUACAUUGAUGGCGCAAAACACUCGCCCCUACAUUGUGUGCCUGGUUGCACCUACACGGCAGGUUUCUGAGCAGCUAUUUGAUGCAGUUCGCCACCUCAACCAGCCUGGUGUAUCAGUGGUCAUGCUCAUGGGUCGGGAGCGCAUGUGCGCUCAUGAAGAUGUCCGUUCAAAGCCUUACUGUCAGCAGAGCGAUGCAUGCAAGGUUGCUCUUGGCCGCAAGACAAAUGAUAUUGACCACGCUGGUGUAUCACCCUGCCAGUACAUUAAUGGUGCUCAAAAGCAUGUUCGCUGGAGUACUGGCACGUUCACUGAGGCAGGCGUAACUUAUGGGCCGCCACGGUUGGCUGACAUUGAGUCAUUAAGUGCACAAGUUGGGGCGUGUGCAUACUAUGGGCAGGUCAUGGCCGCGCAUUCAGCUGUUCGCAGAAGGCAGAACCUGGUCAUCUGCGGGACCAUGAACCUGAUGGCUGACCUUGCUGCAAUGCAGACCAGGUAGGUGCCUGCAUCUGCCAUGCAUGGGCAAUACAGGAACAUGAUGAUUCACGUUUCACAGGCUCAAGGGCCAUGAAAGCAGCUGCGACAUCCUUCCAUCUUCAACACAUGAUGUCAUGAUUAUGGUUGAUGAGAUUCACAAGCUGGGGGCAACCGUGCGGGAUAUCCACAGCGCGGAGCUGGCAUGUAUGACCAUCAGCAGUGUAACGGGUGCCAUCAUGUCAAAAGCCAGUACCUUCAGCCGGGACUUCCGGAGCAUGUUACAAAGCUUCAGACAGACUGGUGUUGUGCCCUCCGCAUCCAUCAACUGGGCUGGCCAUGGCAGCCUUUUGUUGUUACUUGAAGCACUGGUUGCUUUGCCUAACAUCCUUGUGCAUGGGGGUUUGGUGGCAAGAACCAAUGCAGCUGGUCAGGAGCAUCGCCACGCCUCUGUUCUGGGGUCAUGCACACACACAGCCGCAACUGCUGGCAGCACUCAGCCCUGUAUGUGUGACCUGUGCACACGUGGUUGUGUCCUUCUCGAGUGGUCCGACAUUUGGCAGUGGUUGCUUGACUGGGGGUUUGACAACCCUGCUCUACUCGUCAGCAAUGCAGCCAGUGUGUUUACCAUGUAUGAUGACAAUGUCCAAAGGCCUGUGGACCUGGAACGCUUGAGGCCAGCAGAGGCAUUUACAGUGCUCCUGCAUGAAUGCUUCAAGCUGCAAGGGUCUGCCCAGCCUAUCUGGCGCACCCUUAACCUCAGGUUCUUGCCGUACAUCCUUGGAUUGGCCUCAGCGGGGACGUUUACCCUUGGAAUUGCUGCAAAAGACAUCAAACCUUACAUUCAGGAAUUUGAGGCAAUGUACAGAAAGGUCGUGGGCUUCUCGGCAACCCCCAUGGCACGGCCCUACAUGGUUGCACUGGAGGGCUGGAGUUCGUUGACUUCCAGUAACAGCAACUCCUAUUUGAUUCAGGGUGCCAUGGCAACACCACCAGUGUCUGCUGGUGGCAUCAGCAACCUUUAUGCGCGAUUUUACAUGCCAAUGGUCAGCAAUGUGAGCAUUGAGUUCACAAAGGAGCAGCUUGAGGACAAGGACCUGGCACGGGAUAUUAAGAUCCAGACAGCACAGGAGAUUCUGGCUUUUGCACGCAUUCUUGCUGCUGGCCGUGGCCUGGUAGUGGUGCUGCCAUCAGAGUCAAAGCAGACAAAGUUUUUUGAUGUAUGGAAAGAGGAAGACAGCAACGGUUGGAGUCUUUGGAAGAGUAUGGAGGACAGCAGCACCAUUCUGGUUGGCACAUCCAGCACAACUGUGGCUGAUUUCCAGCGGGCAUUGAAUCAAAGCACCAGCAAACCGUUGCUGUUCUUUAUUCGUGAGAGGUGUGUCAUUGUUGGGUGGUCAGCAACUUGGCCAAUUUGGGUACAUCCCUAACGACCGCACUGUGCAUGCAGGAGCCGGUUUGCGGAGGGCUGGGAUCCACGGGUUGACAAGGACGUGUCCGUGCUGCUUCUGUACGGCCUGCCUCGCCAGAACAUGUACAGCCCUCAGAUUGAAGCCCUUGCAGCUGCUUUUCAAGAUCAUGACCAGGCGCAGCGGCGAGCAGCAGGCAGUGGAACGGCAGCUGUCAUCAACUAUGGUCUGAGUGUGCGUGGACCGCGUGACCCAAAGCAGCGCUGUGGGCUGUUUAGGCAGUGGUACAUUGCGGAUGCAGUUGCAGCCAUGUCGCAAGCUAUGGGCCGUGCGUACAGGGGGCCGGCAGACCGUGCCAUUAUAAUUGCGAUUGGAGUUGCACAGCACAGGCAGAGCAUGCAGGCGCAUGUUCAUGCCGCAGCUGGUCCCACCAUGCAGGGUCCCGCAGGGUGGCAGGAGGUGAUGCGUGGAGCACGGGAGCACAUGCGGGCCUGGAAUUGGCUGCAUGAGUAAAGACACAGCAAUAGGCAUGUGUGCACAUAUUCAUGUCCUUGUUUUUCAGAGUUUGGGUUGUAACGGCAGGUGGGGGCACGCUGCAAGUGCAGCCUUUUCCAUGGACAUGUUCGUGGCAGGUGGUUAGCCAAUGGCAGGUGGUUAGGUAAUGGCAAGCAUGCAUGGCAUGCUGUGGUGGCUUUGACAAGCAUGCAUGGCAUGUUGUGGUGCCUGUGUCAGACAUGUGCAGCACAUAUGCAGGCAGGCAGGCCACGGCAACAACAUACUGGGACCUUGCUUGUUAACCUGUUUGCUUGUGGUGGUGUGGCUGAUUUUAGCACGGUGAUGCAGUGUAGCGUGCGUCCUACCUGACAAGCAAUGCUGGCUCAUGUAAGGACUUUGUUCAUGGUCUGGACUUGUGAUUGAUUGUCCAUGAUUGUAAUUGGUAUAUCAGAAUUCAUCUGGGCGCCAGGGUGGGGAUGUGGAUGGGGUUCAUGGGGUAGUUCAUUCCAGAGUUCAAAGUAACCAAAGCAACUGUGAGAACUGCAACCUGUGGAAGGGCAGGGCGGCCCAAGGCAGGUGGUGGGGGGCAGGGUGGGCCGGGCCGGGGUGACACGGGGCGGCGCGGGCGGCAGGGCAGGGCAGGGCGAGGUGGGGUGGGGUGGCCUCCCCUGCCCGCGGGGCAGGGAGGGGGUGGGCACGGUGGGGUCGCGUGGGCACCUUCGCAGCUGCAGCACUAGGGGACCCAUAUCAGGGGGGGCACGCCAUAUGGUACCAUAAUUAUUGAUAUGCAGUUGCACCGUCAUGUGCGGGCGGCAAACGCGGCAGCCGGAGCCCCCCGCACGGCGACAUGAGGCGCUCAAUGAACCGCAGGGCGUCCACCGCCUCGUUGUACAGCGGCGGCUUGGUGUUGGCGUCCGCCGUGGCGGCGGCCUCGCCGGAUUUGUCAAACCCGCAUUCUCCCAGGUCGACACCGGUGACCAGGGCCACGUCUCACUAUAAGGACGGGUUUGUGCGUUACGCAUGCUUAUUGUGCGCUACGCAUGCGUCUGGGACUGGACGCAUGCGUGCCAGAACGCAUGAAGCAUGACGGGCGGGGGGGGGGGGGGGCACACGGGGGACACGCCCGGUUCCGGGCGGGGUUGAAACCCAGGAUUGGGCGUUCUUAUUCAUACAAGCACCAUAUACAAUUCUAUAAAGCACGUUACCCUCGGUAUGUGAGCAGCAUAUGUUCACACAUAAUAGCGGGCUAGGUGUCGUGAAGGUCCCGCGAGCGCGAGACCAAUUUUGAGCAUGUUCGCUCAAAUCCGCUAAGCGUGAACCCACAAGCCCUGACUACGCUUAUUUACACCCUAUGAAAGCAAUUGCACCUAUAAGCGCAGGCUCGCAGGCCUCGGCGAGCAGUGUCAUUUUUAUGGGACCGCCAACAAAGUCAGAGUUGCACCUUCCGAUGCAUCUGGGUUGCUUCCAUAUGCCAUGUAGGCGACUCUAGGAGCGGUUGCAGGUCCGUUUGGGUCCCCGCUGCUCAAGAGGUCCGCCAUGAAUUUGGUUUCAUCCAAAGGGCAGCUCGACUAGCUUUUAAGAUUGCCGUCGCCUAGAUAGAGCAUAUAUAGCAUAUAUUAGGUGCUGUAGCCCGCCGGCAAGACCAUUCGGUGGACAUGCAUACAGCAUGCUGGUCGGAACAACAACUAUCGGUGCUGCGGUCGUCAAAACAUAAUCUUGUAUGCAUAUAUGUGCUAUGUAAAGCUUCAGGGCUGUGUCAAGCCCCGUUUUCUGGGACCUCCGUCCCCAUGUACCCAGCUCAGCACACAUGCGUGCGUGCCUGCCCGGAAGUGUCCCCGUCGAGCACACCCUGGCCUCCGAUCGCGCUCGUAGCUGGUGAGCUUAUACAUAUAGAUGUAUAUAUGCGAUAGGAAGCGUGGGGGCCCGUCCUGAGGCAGUUAGCAUGGGGUCAGUCUGUUCACCCCUCCGCCCCCCCCUAAAACCGCGUGUCAAAACACACACGCUUGCCGUACGACAUUAAACCAUCCGUUACACCACCGGAAGGGUGCAAACGUGUCCGGGAGCUACUGCCGAAAUCCCAGCGUGUACCGACUGGCAUAGCACCCCCGCCUAGGGUCUUAAAGUUGGGGGGUACCCUGAACCGGGCGUGUCCCCCGUGUGGGGGGGGGGCGUGAGCCCCCGGAAAAGUUUUUGCGUGUUGGGCCUCAAAUUCCGUCGACUAUCGCCGGGCGCGGGCGCCUGCUCGUAAAAAAUUUCACAAAUAACGUAACAUACACCACGCUUGGACUCUAGCACUGCAUCGGUACUUGUGCGUUGCACCAACUCCUCGCCAUUUCAUUUGUUUUUGCAAAGUUAUGCGUCGCCUAAAGUACAGUGAACAGCUUCUUACAUUUAGCAUGCAUUGGCUGGAGCAACGGGGCGGGCCAAGUGCACUUUACCGGUUACUGGAAAAACCGGGAGGGCCCGAGCUCGAUGCGACCGCACUGGCUAUUGCCCCUCCCCCUUCGGGGGAAGGGGCAAGCCAACGCAUACACGCAUACGUACAGCUUCGCAUACGUUCAAACCACCAUCAUCGUCCCGAGAAUCGCCUAUCAAAGACUGGGCCUACUCACGGCCAACCAACACGUCGGCAGCUGGGCAGCUGGACGCAGUCUACGCGCCUGGUACACUAGCACGGCUUAUCUCAGCUGCGGUCCACCUGUUUCAGCUUCAUCUGGUCGAAUUCAUUAGCCUCGUCAAGAAAGCGCGUCCUCCACGGCUUCAAUCGCUCGCGAUUGAAGCCGUGAAGGGUGCACCCAGUUCAGGUCACAGCUAGGGACCCUGGCCAGGCAUUAACCGUGGCUGCCUCAGCCAUAGGCACGGUGACACUCAGGUGAGUUUCCGGCCGGGGGAAGACCUGCGCAGAGGGGACAAGGACCAGGCAGAGAGCUGCGAAGCUCGCUUUGUACUCUUGCAUUCAAUUGAACAAUCCCAUAGUACUUGAGCCUUCAAACCAGCCAUUCCUCCAACAGCGCUCUCGCUGUCAGUUUUUAGUGUGGAUGGCUCUUCUCAGUCUCACAUACGUUUGAUUGUUGCGGUCAUAUCCUACCGGACAGAAUGUCUUGGAUACGCGGGGAUGUGCGGCUGCGUGGGCUCCUACUUGUGCUCGGCACGUUCGCCCUGGUGGGCAUUGAGCACGUUUCGGAACGCACAGUGAAGCUGAAGUAUUUUCUUCAGAAGGCGUUGCCGCUU